Molecule: ribosomal RNA, 465 nt
Filed under: uncultured bacterium
Lineage: Bacteria
Description: partial 16S ribosomal RNA
Rfam family: Bacterial small subunit ribosomal RNA
Source: RNAcentral
GACGAACGCUGGCGGCGUGCUUAACACAUGCAAGUCGAACGGAAAGGCCCCUUUGGGGGUACUCGAGUGGCGAACGGGUGAGUAACACGUGAGUAACCUGCCCUUGACUUCGGGAUAACUUCAGGAAACUGGGGCUAAUACCGGAUAGGAAUCCUUGCUGCAUGGGGGGGGUUGGAAAGCUUCGGCGGUUUUGGAUGGACUCGCGGCUUAUCAGCUUGUUGGUGGGGUAGUGGCUUACCAAGGCUUUGACGGGUAGCCGGCCUGAGAGGGCGACCGGCCACAUUGGGACUGAGAUACGGCCCAGACUCCUACGGGAGGCAGCAGUGGGGAAUAUUGCACAAGGGGCGGAAGCCUGAUGCAGCAACGCCGCGUGCGGGAUGACGGCCUUCGGGUUGUAAACCGCUUUCAGCAGGGGCGAAGCUUGUGGUGACGGUACCUGCAGAAGAAGCACCGGCUAACUACGUG